AAUACUACCUACAUUUGGGAACCAUGAUUACAAUUUCACUCAGAUAUUUCCAUCAAAUAUUUCUCAGUACACCCUGACCUGAUGAAACUGACCCUCACAACAAAUCCAUCAUCAACUGGAAUCAAGUGAAUGCAUUGUGUGACUUACUUUAGAGACAGGGAAACUAAAAUCCCAGGGUCACAGGGUGAGUUAGGGAGAGUCCAGAUACAACCUCAGACUCUUUCAACACUCAUCCAUGAAUGUUGUAGU
RNAcentral lists this long non-coding RNA (249 nucleotides) under Homo sapiens (human). Its description in RNAcentral is "non-protein coding lnc-DPP4-6:1". Lineage: Eukaryota; Metazoa; Chordata; Mammalia; Primates; Hominidae. The record is from RNAcentral.